This is a long non-coding RNA of Equus quagga, 256 nucleotides long. RefSeq lists it as uncharacterized. NCBI's taxonomy places the organism in Eukaryota, Metazoa, Chordata, Mammalia, Perissodactyla, Equidae. The transcript has 3 exons. The record is from RefSeq and is a predicted model, not a curated record.
AGUGUGACAAAGAUGAGCAAUACAGAUGAAGGCCCUGCCACGUGGAGAUUAGUCUGAUGAGUGAAACAAACAUUAAAUAAUCACAUAGUUUUACCAAUUAAAUUCAAGGAAAACCACUAUGACCAAAGAGAAGAAACAAAGAAGAGUAGAGAAUAGUGAUCUACCUUGAGGCAGACAACACCUAAGGGUGGAUGAUUACUGUGAAUGUGCUGGCCUUCCAGGACAACCAGGAUUUAUACAUUGGCAAAAAGAUGGC